CGGAGGAAAAGAAACUAACAAGGAYUCCCCUAGUAAGUGCGAGUGAAGCGGGAAAAGCUCAAAUUUGAAAUCUGGCAGUCUUUUUUUUCUUCUAUGGCUGUCCGAGUUGUAAUCUAGAGAAGCGCUUACCUGCGCUGGACCAUGUAUAAGUCUCCUGGAAUGGAGCGUCGCAGAGGGUGAGAAUCCCGUCUUUGACAUGGACUGCCAGCGUGUUGUGGUGCGCUCUCAAAGAGUCGAGUUGUUUGGGAAUGCAGCUCUAAACGGGUGGUAAACUCCAUCUAAAGCUAAAUAUUGGCGAGAGACCGAUAGCGAACAAGUACCGUGAGGGAAAGAUGAAAAGGACUUUGGAAAGAGAGUUAAACAGUAUGUGAAAUUGUUGAAAGGGAAACGCUUGAAGUCAGUUAUGUUGGCGAGGGAUCAGCCUAGCUUUUUGCCGGGUGAAUUUCCUGGUCUGACAGGCCAACAUCGGUCUCGACUGCUGGAAAAGAGCGGGGGGAAUGUGGCACCUUCGGGUGUGUUUAUAGCCCUUUGUUAUAUGCGGCGGUCGGGACCGAGGGAUGCAGCGUGCCGUGAAGGCUGGGUUUCGACCACGUUCACGCUUAGGAUGUUGGCUUUUAAUGGCUUCAAUCGACCCGUCUUGA
This 641-nucleotide ribosomal RNA is filed under the name Amanita ceciliae. Its description in RNAcentral is "LSU rRNA". It matches the Rfam family "Eukaryotic large subunit ribosomal RNA", at positions 51 to 657 of the family's 3401-position model. The record is from RNAcentral. Lineage: Eukaryota; Fungi; Basidiomycota; Agaricomycetes; Agaricales; Amanitaceae.